AAAACUAGAAAAAAAGAAGAGAAGAGAAGAAAGAUAUUGGAGUCACAUGUGGCGAGACUUACGUAAGUCUAGCCCAUGUGUUCCAAUAUCUUUCUUCUCUUCCUUUUUUUUUCAAAUAUUU
This 121-nucleotide microRNA precursor is filed under the name Brassica napus (rape). Its description in RNAcentral is "pre miRNA MIR2118". Lineage: Eukaryota; Viridiplantae; Streptophyta; Magnoliopsida; Brassicales; Brassicaceae. The record is from RNAcentral.